AGACAGGGAGCGCCAAACACCAAAAUUUCUCGGUUCUUAGUGGUUUAGUUUCUGAAAAAAGACCCUCUAGAUUCCCUAGGGUUUUUAUUGCUACAAAGAAAAUCCAAAGUAUAAGAGAAAAAAAAAAAAAAAAAAACAAACAAACAAAAACGGCUGGGCAACACAACUAUUUGCAGGUUCGUCUCUCUCUCUUUCUCUCUUUCUCUCACAUCUUCGACCUAACAAUCUUUAAUUUCUCUCCCCCUCUCUCUAAAUCAUUAUCCCUCUUCUCUAUAAUCUUCAUGAAUAUGCAAAAAAAAUUUAUUUAUUUUUCUCAAUUGUAACAUUUGUUCCCUUGUAUCUGUGUUUUAGAGAAGAUUUGUGUGCCUGUGGUCAUUAAAGGGUAGCAAGAGGAGAAAAAACAGGUAAUUUUCGAUAAUUAGAAUCGUUAUUAGUUUAGGGUUGUAAGAGGAGAUAAUCUAAUUUGUGCAGUAAAACUUUUUUUGCUUGAGAUUGUAGUAUAAUUAGGAUAAUUAUGUUAAUUCCAACUCAUUCCAUUAAAAUAUUUUUUUGGUUGAGAUCGUAAUUUUUGGUGUCUGGAAUGGAACUCCUUUAUAUAUGCCCACUUUGCAAAAAAUAAAAUCUAUGUUAAUAAUAAACACCAUUGAUAUCAGAUCGAAUUGCAUCCAUACCUACUCCAUGUUAAGCAUAGUGCUGAAGUUGCCCAAUAUGUAUAAACCUCCUUACAACCAAACUGUCAUAAGAACUAGUUAAGUCAUACAUAUUUAUUCAGAUUAAUAGCCAGCAUGUUGUUUCUCUAUGCCUUAGCUACAAUGUUUGAGAUAUUGGACUCACGGUCAUUGAUUAGAUAACCAAUCUCCAUAUCAAAUUUUCUACUCUCAUGAACACUUUAAUGUACAGAGUCACAAUUCAUUUUAUCUCUGUUUCGAUGUGUAGUUGUGGGACCUGGAAGUGGAUCAAGGUCGAGGUCAAGGUCGAAUUCACGAUCUGUAUCAUCUGAGCAGGGCUCAAAUACUGGUGGUAUAAGAUCAUUUUUUGUUAAUAGUAAUCAUUGCAGAAUUUUAUUAAAGUUAAUUAAAUUAAUUUUUUUUAUCUUUGAACAGCAUCUUCCGAACCUCCUCGUCGUAGAGGCAAGGCGCUGAAUGAGCAACUCAAUGACCUCAUAAAGUGGGGUAUGAUAAAACCAAAGAUAGAAUUCAAACCAGGUUUAGCAAGACCAUGGAGUAGAUAAAUUCUAUAAAAGAAUCUUGGUAAAGAAUGUUUUGUUUAUAUUGUUUACAUACUAAUUUCAUAAAAGGGUCUUUCUAAAGACCCCCAAUAACCAAUCCUCGCAUGAAUUGCUACUUAACAUCUUAAUUAUUAAUUUAUUUUGAUAUUUCUAUUUCUAUUUGUGAAGGUAAAGUUCGAUGUAAACUUUGCUGAUCCUUCUGUUCGAAAGAUUGUCGACAAACA
Molecule: long non-coding RNA, 1452 nt
Filed under: Aquilegia coerulea
Lineage: Eukaryota; Viridiplantae; Streptophyta; Magnoliopsida; Ranunculales; Ranunculaceae
Description: long non-coding RNA (ACOE_LNC002092)
Source: RNAcentral